ACGUGAGUACCUCUUGGCUGUUGUAACACCCUAGGUGUUAAGCAUGCACUUAGCCUCAUAAACUUACUCAUAAGCAUCCUCAUCAAGCAUAGCAUGAGCAUAGCAUCACAUGUGCAUAGUGACAUUUGUUAAUUGUGAUUUUAUGUGCUUGAUUUAGAUGAAUUAAAUAUAAUACAUUAAUGUGCUUGCUUCAAACAUGCUUGUGAUGACCAAAGUAGGUUGAAAUGUGUUUUAGAAGAUUUAAGAAUAAUUGUGUUAAAUUUUUGGAGCUCUAGAAUUUGAGAAAUGAAUUUAAUACAAAAAUCCCUAAAAUGGAUUUAUUUAAAAACCUAGAACUAGUUUUGAGUUGCAUUUCAAAUUCUAUUUGGAAUUUGGGGUUACAGCUUAAAGCAAAGUUGUAGAGCUAUUUAUUUUGAUCAACUUUUGUUUUAGGGGCCAAGUCUGGAAAAGAUUUUAAAUAAGUCAAAAUGUGCUUGGAAAAUAUUUGGGAAAAAGAAAUAAAAAAAAGAAAGAAAAGGGGGGCAGGCGCUGCUGGGCCGACCCGCCUCAAUUUCGGUCCGCUCAGACGCGCGGCCCAGCUUCUUCCCCCGCCUCGCCGCGCACGGACGUGCCCGCCCUUCUCCACCCGGUGCCGGCC
Molecule: long non-coding RNA, 637 nt
Filed under: Sorghum bicolor (sorghum)
Lineage: Eukaryota; Viridiplantae; Streptophyta; Magnoliopsida; Poales; Poaceae
Description: long non-coding RNA (SBIC_LNC003013)
Source: RNAcentral